RNAcentral lists this ribosomal RNA (468 nucleotides) under uncultured bacterium. RNAcentral's name for it is "partial 16S ribosomal RNA". It matches the Rfam family "Bacterial small subunit ribosomal RNA", at positions 28 to 507 of the family's 1533-position model. The record is from RNAcentral.
GACGAACGCUGGCGGCGUGCUUAACACAUGCAAGUCGAACGGAAAGGCCCUGCUUUUGUGGGGUGCUCGAGUGGCGAACGGGUGAGUAACACGUGAGUAACCUGCCCUUGACUUUGGGAUAACUUCAGUAAACUGGGGCUAAUCCCGGAUAGGAGCUCCUGCUGCAUGGUGGGGGUUGGAAAGUUUCGGCGGUUGGGGAUGGACUCGCGGCUUAUCAGCUUGUUGGUGGGGUAGUGGCUUACCAAGGCUUUGACGGGUAGCCGGCCUGAGAGGGUGACCGGCCACAUUGGGACUGAGAUACGGCCCAGACUCCUACGGGAGGCAGCAGUGGGGAAUAUUGCACAAUGGGCGGAAGCCUGAUGCAGCAACGCCGCGUGCGGGAUGACGGCCUUCGGGUUGUAAACCGCUUUCGCCUGUGACGAAGCGUGAGUGACGGUAAUGGGUAAAGAAGCACCGGCUAACUACGUG